UAGCUAGUUGGUGAGGUAAAGGCUUACCAAGGCGACGAUCUGUAGCGGGUCUGAGAGGAUGAUCCGCCACACUGGAACUGAGACACGGUCCAGACUCCUACGGGAGGCAGCAGUGGGGAAUUUUGGACAAUGGGGGCAACCCUGAUCCAGCCAUGCCGCGUGAGUGAAGAAGGCCUUCGGGUUGUAAAGCUCUUUCGGCCCGGAAGAAAUCGCAUGGGCCAAUACCCUGUGUGGAUGACGGUACCGGAAUAAGAAGCACCGGCUAACUACGUGCCAGCAGCCGCGGUAAUACGUAGGGUGCGAGCGUUAAUCGGAAUUACUGGGCGUAAAGCGUGCGCAGGCGGUUUUGUAAGACAGGCGUGAAAUCCCCGGGCUUAACCUGGGAACUGCGUUUGUGACUGCAAGGCUAGAGUACGGCAGAGGGGGGUGGAAUUCCACGUGUAGCAAUGAAAUGCGUAGAGAUGUGGAGGAACACCAAUGGCGAAGGCAGCCCCCUGGGUCGAUACUGACGCUCAUGCACGAAAGCGUGGGUAGCAAACAGGAUUAGAUACCCUGGUAGUCCACGCCCUAAACUAUGUCAACUAGGUGUUGGGUGGGUAAAACCAUUUAGUACCGUAGCUAACGCGUGAAGUUGACCGCCUGGGGAGUACGGCCGCAAGGUUAAAACUCAAAGGAAUUGACGGGGACCCGCACAAGCGGUGGAUGAUGUGGAUUAAUUCGAUGCAACGCGAAAAACCUUACCUACCCUUGACAUGCCAGGAACUUGCCAGAGAUGGCUUGGUGCCCGAAAGGGAGCCUGGACACAGGUGCUGCAUGGCUGUCGUCAGCUCGUGUCGUGAGAUGUUGGGUUAAGUCCCGCAACGAGCGCAACCCUUGUCGUUAAUUGCCAUCAUUUAGUUGGGCACUUUAACGAGACUGCCGGUGACAAACCGGAGGAAGGUGGGGAUGACGUCAAGUCCUCAUGGCCCUUAUGGGUAGGGCUUCACACGUCAUACAAUGGUCGGUACAAAGGGUUGCCAAGCCGCGAGGCGGAGCCAAUCCCAGAAAGCCGAUCGUAGUCCGGAUUGCAGGCUGCAACUCGCCUGCAUGAAGUCGGAAUCGCUAGUAAUCGUGGAUCAGCAUGUCACGGUGAAUACGUUCCCGGGUCUUGUACACACCGCCCGUCACACCAUGGGAGCGGGUUCCGCCAGAAGUAGGUAGCCUAACCGCAAGGGGGGCGCUUACCACGGCGGGGUUCGUGACUGGGGUGAAGUCGUAACAAGGUAGCCGUAGGGGAACCUGCGGCUG
This 1287-nucleotide ribosomal RNA is filed under the name metagenome. Its description in RNAcentral is "bacterial SSU rRNA". It matches the Rfam family "Bacterial small subunit ribosomal RNA", at positions 242 to 1520 of the family's 1533-position model. The record is from RNAcentral.